Molecule: ribosomal RNA, 119 nt
Filed under: Salmo salar (Atlantic salmon)
Lineage: Eukaryota; Metazoa; Chordata; Actinopteri; Salmoniformes; Salmonidae
Source: RNAcentral
GCUUACGGCCAUACCAGCCUGUGUACGCCCGAUCUCGUCUGAUCUCGGAAGCUAAGCAGGGUCGGGCCUGGUUAGUACUUGGAUGGGAGACCACCUGGGAAUACCAGGUGCUGUAAGCA